This is a small nuclear RNA of Octodon degus (degu), 108 nucleotides long. Lineage: Eukaryota; Metazoa; Chordata; Mammalia; Rodentia; Octodontidae. The record is from Ensembl.
UCCCUCACUUCAUAUUGUCACCUUGAAAAUUUGGUUAUGAUACAGAGAAAAUUAGCAUGGCUCCCGUGUAAUGAUGACACGCAAAUUCGUGAACCAUUCCAUAUUUUU